GUUUAUAGCUGCCUAUUCAAAUGGGUUCUUUUGCUUGAGAGUAUAAAAAAAUUCACAGCCAAUUUGAACUAAAUAUUAAUUAUUGUCUCAUGAAACUUAGAACUCCAGGAAGGAAGCCAACUUCAGGUGUGGCUCACCCUGGAAAUCAGACAUUAUUAUUAGGGUACUCGCUCACUGUUCUACUUGUCCCUAUUUGACCUCAUUCUGCAGGUGAACUCUCACAAUGUGCCAGUCAAGAUGGCUUCUCUCAGCCCAGACACAUAUUUUUUGGAGUCCCUGUCAGCUCCAGUGAAAAGCUUUAGAAAAUACUCCAAUUGGCUUUAGCAGAAUCAUGUGACCAUAUUGGAAAUGGCCGGCCUUGGGAUAUGCUAUGAGAAGAUUGUCAUUCAAACAGCCCAAAAACAAGAACUGAACAGCACUAACAUCAAACAAAAGCAGCCCCUGGAUUUUCUGACAAACCAGAAAUAAUUUUCCAGAUGCAGGCAGCAUACUCAAGUUGGCAUUUGCUCAUGGCCAUGGGGUAGAAAGAAGGCUGAAGGCAAAGGUAGGUGUUCCUGGGCAGGUAAGAAUCAUGGGUGAGGGGGAAUGCAUCAUGCUUCUCCUGUAGGAAUGCUGAUUCCUGAAGGGAACUCCUGAGGACAUCUGAUGAACACUGGAGUCCUUGUGGCAUUGUUCAUGCAGGGGAUGCUAACACGAUGACAGACAAGCAGGCAGAAUGGGGAAAAGUAAGCCAGUAAGUAUGCUCACCAGUGUUAACGAGUUGUUUUUGCUUUGCUUUGAAACUCAAUCACCUUUGAAAGGUUCCCACCUUCAAAAAGCUGAGUAGUUUCUUUACAGCAGUGGUUCUCAAACUUAUCUGUCCAUGACAAACACCUGGAAGGCUUAGUAAAGCACAAACUUCCAGGGCUCUGUAUUUAAAGUUUCUGAUUAAAUAUUUCUGGGGUAGGACUUGCAAAUUUGCAUUUCUAUUAGGUUCAAAGGUGAUGCUGAUGGUGCUGGUUUGGGCAAUGAAACUGAAAACCACUGCUUCUAGCACACAGGGACCUGGG
This 1049-nucleotide long non-coding RNA is filed under the name Pan troglodytes (chimpanzee). RNAcentral's name for it is "lncRNA (ENSPTRG00000053927.1)". Lineage: Eukaryota; Metazoa; Chordata; Mammalia; Primates; Hominidae. The record is from RNAcentral.